GAUGAACGCUGGCGGCGUGCCUAAUACAUGCAAGUCGAGCGAACAGACGAGGAGCUUGCUCCUCUGACGUUAGCGGCGGACGGGUGAGUAACACGUGGAUAACCUACCUAUAAGACUGGGAUAACUUCGGGAAACCGGAGCUAAUACCGGAUAAUAUAUUGAACCGCAUGGUUCAAUAGUGAAAGACGGUUUUGCUGUCACUUAUAGAUGGAUCCGCGCCGCAUUAGCUAGUUGGUAAGGUAACGGCUUACCAAGGCAACGAUGCGUAGCCGACCUGAGAGGGUGAUCGGCCACACUGGAACUGAGACACGGUCCAGACUCCUACGGGAGGCAGAAGUAGGGAAUCUUCCGCAAUGGGCGAAAGCUUGACGGAGCAACGCCGCGUGAGUGAUGAAGGUAUUCGGAUCGUAAAACUCUGUUAUUAGGGAAGAACAAAUGUGUAAGUAACUAUGCACGUCUUGACGGUACCUAAUCAGAAAGCCACGGCUAACUACGUG
This 497-nucleotide ribosomal RNA is filed under the name uncultured bacterium. RNAcentral's name for it is "partial 16S ribosomal RNA". It matches the Rfam family "Bacterial small subunit ribosomal RNA", at positions 28 to 507 of the family's 1533-position model. The record is from RNAcentral.